CCAAUAGCGUAUAUUAAAGUUGUUGCAGUUAAAAAGCUCGAAGUUGAAUUUCGGGAUCAAGGAAUCGGUCAUGCCUUGGUAUGUACUGGUUUUAUUGGUUCUCACCUUCUAAAGAACCAUAAUGUCAUUCAUUUGAUGUUAUGGGGAAUUAGGACUGUUACCUUGAAAAAAUUAGAGUGUUUAAAGCAGGCUUACGCUUGAAUACAUUAGCAUGGAAUAAUGAAAUAGGACAUCCGAUUCUAUUUUGUUGGUUUCUAGGAUCGAUGUAAUGAUUAAUAGGGAGAGUUGGGGGAAUUAGUAUUAAAUUGUCAGAGGUGAAAUUCUUGGAUUUAUUGAAGACUAACUACUGCGAAAGCAUUUGCCAAGGAUGUUUUCAUUAAUCAAGGACGAAAGUUAGGGGAUCGAAGACGAUCAGAUACCGUCGUAGUCUUAACCAUGAACUAUGCCGACUAGGGAUCGGAUGAUGUUUAUUUUUUAGUGACUCAUUCGGCACCUUACG
Molecule: ribosomal RNA, 499 nt
Filed under: uncultured Glomeromycotina
Lineage: Eukaryota; Fungi; Glomeromycota
Description: partial small subunit ribosomal RNA
Rfam family: Eukaryotic small subunit ribosomal RNA
Source: RNAcentral